RNAcentral lists this non-coding RNA (21 nucleotides) under Caenorhabditis elegans. Lineage: Eukaryota; Metazoa; Nematoda; Chromadorea; Rhabditida; Rhabditidae. The record is from RNAcentral.
UUUAGAAAUUAGUUAGUGUUG